This 503-nucleotide ribosomal RNA is filed under the name uncultured bacterium. RNAcentral's name for it is "partial 16S ribosomal RNA". It matches the Rfam family "Bacterial small subunit ribosomal RNA", at positions 30 to 523 of the family's 1533-position model. The record is from RNAcentral.
AUUGAACGCUGGCGGCAGGCUUAACACAUGCAAGUCGAGCGGGGUGAUGGUGCUUGCACUAUCACUUAGCGGCGGACGGGUGAGUAAUGCUUAGGAAUCUGCCUAUUAGUGGGGGACAACAUCUCGAAAGGGAUGCUAAUACCGCAUACGUCCUACGGGGGAAAGCAGGGGAUCACUUGUGACCUUGCGCUAAUAGAUGAGCCUAAGUCGGAUUGGCUAGUUGGUGGGGUAAAGGCCUACCAAGGCGACGAUCUGUAGCGGGUCUGAGAGGAUGAUCCGCCACACUGGGACGGAGACACGGCCCAGACUCCUACGGGAGGCAGCAGUGGGGAAUAUUGGACAAUGGGGGGAACCCUGAUCCAGCCAUGCCGCGUGUGUGAAGAAGGCCUUAUGGUUGUAAAGCACUUUAAGCGAGGAGGAGGCUCUUUUGGUUAAUACCCAGAAUGAGUGGACGUUACUCGCAGAAUAAGCACCGGCUAACUCUGUGCCAGCCGCCGCGGUAA